Long non-coding RNA from Papaver somniferum (opium poppy), 1263 nucleotides. RefSeq lists it as uncharacterized. NCBI's taxonomy places the organism in Eukaryota, Viridiplantae, Streptophyta, Magnoliopsida, Ranunculales, Papaveraceae. The transcript has 3 exons. The record is from RefSeq and is a predicted model, not a curated record.
CACUUCUAAACUAGUCGAACUAACUUCUUCAUUUCUCCAUCGGUACUACCAAUACCACCACCAUUUCUUACGCCACCACCUACACCGCCGCAACCAACACCAAUAGCAGCACCCCCAUCAUCUCCAUCGUCACAACCACAACCAUCAUCAUCGUUUCUCCACCUCCCAAUCAAUCGAUUUAGACCGAUGUUCACUUGACUCAACCAUGAAACUUAAAUCUGGUGAUGAACCAACGAGAAAUUAACCUCCAAAACCUAAUCUCGAGUAUCAACAACAUUAGAUUCAUCCCUAUUUUAACUGAAUUGUACAUCUAUUUUAAUAUGGUGCUGUUGGUGGUGGAUAAUUGCGGCACUGAUGGCGGAUAUUUGUUGCACUUGAGGUAAUGGUGGUGGGAAGAUUCUGUGUGAUUGUUAAUGGUGGUGGUGAGCUCCGAAUGAUAAAUUGAUGAUUAGAUAAUGUACAUGUUACUGUAUGCUUAUUGGUAAAGCAAAACUAAAUGAUCUUAAUGUCAAAAAUGAUUAAACAAUAGUAAUUUUUAGAUCAUAGAUUCUAGUUCUCAUCUGAAUUACCAACCCUGGAAUGCCAAAUUGCUGGAACCAUAGGAUUACAACUGAUAAUUUGUUACAAGCUAUACAAAUAGAUGAACGAGGAACACCCGAUAGAAAGCAUAAAAGCCUAGAAAUGUGGAAGCAACUAGCUCUCAAUGAAGUUGUUAUGGCGUUGGCAUCUGUGAACUUUCCAGAUCUGAAGAACGUUGAGUUUGUACUUCUCUGAACUCAACUCAACUUUUGUGUUACCACUUAAUGUUUAGGUCUUGUUGUGGUGAUUGAAUGAGAGUUUUGAUGGUCUGCCAUUAAUGAAUUUGAUUGGAAAUGGUGACUUGAGAAUUGGUUGAGUCGUGGACAAGAAGGUUACAAAGAUGAUGGUGGCUGUGAUGUUGUGUAUGCUGGUAGUGUUUGAGCAGCAAGGAAAUGGCUGAGCUGCAGAUAAGAGUGUUGCUGGUGAUGAACACCGGAGAUGUGUGUUGGAAGUGAGAAGUAAAUGGAUAGACUUCGGUUUUUAUGGAUCACCUACGGUUGUUGAUCCUAUUUAUGGGAUCAAUUCUCGUUGUUGAUCCAAUAUUUUAUGGGAUCAACUACUGUUGUUGAUCCUAUUUAUGGGAUCAACUCCUGUUGUUGAUCCAAUUUUUUAUGGGAUCAACUACUGUUGUUGAUCCUUUCAACUCCUAUUGUUGACAAUAUUUUGUUGGAUAAGUAUAAUCAU